This 518-nucleotide long non-coding RNA is filed under the name Zonotrichia albicollis (white-throated sparrow). Its description in RNAcentral is "lncRNA (ENSZALG00000017832.1)". The record is from RNAcentral. Lineage: Eukaryota; Metazoa; Chordata; Aves; Passeriformes; Passerellidae.
AAGAUGGACAGAAGGAGUGUGCUUUUUUUUGCUUAAAUAUGGCUGGUGAAUAUCCCUGAAAACACAGCAACCCACAUCCUGGUUGACCACUGCUGUUCACCUCAUCAAAAAGAGUGACUUCAGAAAGGUAGGAACCUUCAGUUUGCUGUGAGGAUGCUGCUCCUCUGCCUCAUGUUUGCAGGUGCUGGAGAACAAAGCCAGUCCUAGCAUAAACAGGGACUUCUGACACUCCCAGCUGAAGUACAAGAAAAGGACUUCACACAACUGAAGUACAAGAAAAGACUUUCUGCUACAUUUUAGCAUUUUGUGGGGCAUAAGUUGGGAGCUGAGAGCAACAAACUCCUUUGGUCAUGAGAUGAGCUUCACUUCACUCCUGUUGUUUCCAGUCACCACAGUUAAGAAACCAAAGUGAAGUGGUGGACAUAGGAUGCUUGGAUACCUGUCUAAUACAGCAUCAAGACACAGCUGAAGUUUACACCCAGCCCUGUUUAACUAACUUUAUGUUUCUCAUUACCUGA